This 177-nucleotide non-coding RNA is filed under the name Deltaproteobacteria bacterium HGW-Deltaproteobacteria-14. RNAcentral's name for it is "6S RNA". It matches the Rfam family "6S / SsrS RNA". From Rfam's summary of the family: E. coli 6S RNA was the first non coding RNA to be sequenced, but its function was unknown until recently. It consists of 184 nucleotides that fold into an extended hairpin structure with a large single-stranded internal bulge. The 6S RNA specifically associates with RNA polymerase holoenzyme containing the sigma70 specificity factor. The record is from RNAcentral. Lineage: Bacteria; Deltaproteobacteria.
AGAAGUCUGUGGUGUACGAGUCAGCGAGCCAAUUAUGUCUAAACCCUAGGUCUGAACCCGGGGUUCGUCCCUGUCCGCGGUGUGCAAGCCUGCCCUGGCAGCAGGAAGCCUAAAGCGGAUACCUCGAAGCCCACCUGCGAGGGAUGUGGGUUUAGAUCCGGCUCUUCUGGACGUCGC